AGUGAACGCUGGCGGUAGGCCUAACACAUGCAAGUCGAACGGCAGCACAGUAAGAGCUUGCUCUUACGGGUGGCGAGUGGCGGACGGGUGAGGAAUACAUCGGAAUCUACUUUUUCGUGGGGGAUAACGUAGGGAAACUUACGCUAAUACCGCAUACGACCUACGGGUGAAAGCAGGGGAUCUUCGGACCUUGCGCGAUUGAAUGGGCCGAUGUCGGAUUAGCUAGUUGGCGGGGUAAAGGCCCACCAAGGCGACGAUCCGAAGCUGGUCUGAGAGGAUGAUCAGCCACACUGGAACUGAGACACGGUCCAGACUCCUACGGGAGGCAGCAGUGGGGAAUAUUGGACAAUGGGCGCAAGCCUGAUCCAGCCAUACCGCGUGGGUGAAGAAGGCCUUCGGGUUGUAAAGCCCUUUUGUUGGGAAAGAAAAGCAGCAGGUUAAUACCCCGCUGUUCUGACGGUACCCAAAGAAUAAGCACCGGCUAACUUCGUG
This 492-nucleotide ribosomal RNA is filed under the name uncultured bacterium. Its description in RNAcentral is "partial 16S ribosomal RNA". It matches the Rfam family "Bacterial small subunit ribosomal RNA", at positions 29 to 507 of the family's 1533-position model. The record is from RNAcentral.